UGAACAGCUGAGAAGGGAAGAAGUAAUCCGAAGCAAGAGUUCAGAGAGCCUGCGUUGGGUGCGAGCAGGUACGAUCGCCGGAUGAAAUACAUCCCGGAGCCGCCGAAUUGAAAUGCUAGUAGGUUCGGCCGUGAAAACGCACGUUACAGCGCGUGGGUAUGGACUGUACCCGUAAGGCCGCUUCCGUGAGGAAGACGGUAAACUGAGGUGGUACCGCGGAAUUUUCCGCCCUCUGC
RNAcentral lists this non-coding RNA (236 nucleotides) under Clostridium sp. RNAcentral describes it as "T-box sequence". It matches the Rfam family "T-box leader". From Rfam's summary of the family: Uncharged tRNA acts as the effector for transcription antitermination of genes in the T-box leader family. Lineage: Bacteria; Bacillati; Bacillota; Clostridia; Eubacteriales; Clostridiaceae. The record is from RNAcentral.